UACAGAGGUGGCAAGCGUUGUUCGGAAUUACUGGGCGUAAAGCGCACGUAGGCGGUCCGUUAAGUCAUGUGUGAAAUCCCCCGGCUCAACCGGGGAAUUGCGCCUGAUACUGGCGGGCUAGAGGUCGAUAGGGGUGAGCGGAACUCCAGGUGGAGCGGUGAAAUGCGUAGAUAUCUGGAGGAACACCGGUGGCGAAAGCGGCUCACUGGAUCGAAACUGACGCUGAGGUGCGAAAGCUAGGGUAGCAAACGGG
This 253-nucleotide ribosomal RNA is filed under the name uncultured bacterium. RNAcentral's name for it is "partial 16S ribosomal RNA". It matches the Rfam family "Bacterial small subunit ribosomal RNA", at positions 524 to 776 of the family's 1533-position model. The record is from RNAcentral.